Molecule: long non-coding RNA, 650 nt
Organism: Poeciliopsis prolifica (blackstripe livebearer)
Lineage: Eukaryota; Metazoa; Chordata; Actinopteri; Cyprinodontiformes; Poeciliidae
Exons: 4
Source: RefSeq, a predicted model, not a curated record
GUGCGUGCCACAGGUUGACUUUAAUAGUUUGAACGACUCCCGCUCCCACUUAGUUUUUGAGGUUUAUCGUUCAGAAAGAUCUGCUUGGCUGAAAUCUUCUGCUCACUGCCAGCUGAAACUGCUGCCUUUCAUUCUACGGAUAUGUGGAGAUCUCCAGCAGGUGGUGUGUGCUGUACUGAGAGGCUAAUACAAUUACAUCUAAUGCAGUCAAGCUUCUCUCCAAGUGCAAGCACAUGACACGUUUUCCAUCAGCAGGGCGAUUAGAGAGGCAGAAUUUAAGAUGUUUCUGAUUUCAGCUUCUUUCCUUGCUGCUACCUGCUUUGCAAACAUGACACCAACAGGUCAGGACAAAUGCAUCAGUCUUCAGAAUCCUGCGCUCAUCAUUUUAGCCAAUAUGCAGUUGUCCUGGUGCCAGCACUGCAAAACAGGACAAGUAAUUUAAUUUGCCAUCACCACCAACCUUGAAAAAAGGAAUGUAGGCUAGCAGAAUCCCAAUUGGGAGGUAUAAAAAAAAAAUUUGCUAGCGACUGAGGAAGAGGUUAGGUGGAUCUGCAUGUUGUAUCACAUCCAGGUGUCUCACCUCUGAAGAUGUGGAUUUGCUCUUUAGGUUUACGAGAAUAAAUUGGAAAAUAAAAUCCUUUGCUAAAGUA